CCUAUGGGCGGCAGCAGUGGGGAAUAUUGGACAAUGGGCGAAAGCCUGAUCCAGCCAUGCCGCGUGUGUGAAGAAGGCCUUCGGGUUGUAAAGCACUUUCAGUGGGGAAGAAAGCCUUGGGGCUAAUACCCUCGAGGAAGGACAUCACCCACAGAAGAAGCACCGGCUAACUCCGUGCCAGCAGCCGCGGUAAUACGGAGGGUGCGAGCGUUAAUCGGAAUUACUGGGCGUAAAGCGCGCGUAGGCGGUCUGAUAAGCCGGUUGUGAAAGCCCCGGGCUCAACCUGGGAACGGCAUCCGGAACUGUCAGGCUAGAGUGCAGGAGAGGAAGGUAGAAUUCCCGGUGUAGCGGUGAAAUGCGUAGAGAUCGGGAGGAAUACCAGUGGCGAAGGCGGCCUUCUGGACUGACACUGACGCUGAGGUGCGAAAGCGUGGGUAGCAAACAGGAUUAGAUACCCUAGUAGUC
This 465-nucleotide ribosomal RNA is filed under the name Vreelandella stevensii. Its description in RNAcentral is "partial 16S ribosomal RNA". It matches the Rfam family "Bacterial small subunit ribosomal RNA", at positions 338 to 795 of the family's 1533-position model. The record is from RNAcentral. Lineage: Bacteria; Pseudomonadati; Pseudomonadota; Gammaproteobacteria; Oceanospirillales; Halomonadaceae.